This is a long non-coding RNA of Aquila chrysaetos chrysaetos, 2410 nucleotides long. RefSeq lists it as uncharacterized. Lineage: Eukaryota; Metazoa; Chordata; Aves; Accipitriformes; Accipitridae. The transcript has 3 exons. The record is from RefSeq and is a predicted model, not a curated record.
GGCAGAUCUGCCCAUGACAGUCCAUCCUCGAAGAAGAGUGACCUUGCUAUAGUAAGUGAUAGACAUAGGUGUUGGCAACUUGCAUCUCUUCAGAAAAGGAAGGAAGAAUGGCAAGUUGCAUCUCUUCAGAAAAGGAACAAAGAAUUUGUGCAAAUGAAAAAUGUACAUAGGUAUCAGUUUUCUGGGGGAUAUUCUCAAUAUACCCUAAAUAACAAAACUAGUUUAAAAAAAAAACACAUUAAAAUGUUUAGCUGGGGCAGAAUGACUAGAAGAAUUAACUACAAAGCUGCUAGAAAAUUCUGGGCAUUCAUGGGAGAGAAUACAGUACUCUGCAAUGAAAAUGCAAAGAAAAGUUGGUAUAAUAUGAAAUGGUUAAUAAAGACAGUGAAUUGUACUAGACACAGAAGUCAUCCAGGGUAGUGGGAGAGAUGAACGCCAGCUUGAAAUUUGUGAGUAUACAGUGUAGGAGUGUCUUUGGGCUCCAUGCACUGAACAAUUUACAGUAUUUUUUUCUAAAGGAGUACAAUGUUUUGACCCAGAAGUGUCCUCAUUAUUUUUGUUGGUAAAAGAAUAUAUCCUUUUAAUCUCAAAUAUGUUUCUAUAAAAUCUUAAAACCGUAAGGAAAAAUGGGUGAUAUCAUAGGAAAUGUAUCAAAUUGUGGACAAAUACAAAACUCGACUCUCCACCUUCUCACAUACCAUGUAGUUAUUUCCAGUUGUGUAACCUGGAGAAUAAAAUGCUAAAAUUCUGAUUUGGUAAUUGCCAGAAUUCUAAUAAAAAUCCACACCUUGCAAAAUCUGAGUAUUGGGUAAAGGCAAAAAUUUUGAAAGUGCGUGUUGAGAAACCAAAUACAGAGAAGCGGUUGUAAAGUACAAUCAAGGGAGAAAACUAGAGAAAUUGAAGAUGACGAAGAAGUAUCUGAGACAAAAGUAUACAUGGAAAUACACAGUGGAAAUAAAGGAUUUGUGGUGGAGAACUGUUGUUUUCCCGGGGUUGAGGAACUGAGGGAUUUAACUGCAAGGACCUGUAAAUGAUACAAUGCAGACUGUUUGACUGUGCAGUAGAAGCUGUACAAUCUUUCCAAGCUCUGAGUCCUAACUGCCUGGCAACUCAAACCUCUUCAACCUUGGUGCCAAGUUCUGCAAUUUGUGCAAAGAUGCUAUUUAGUUCAGACAGCCUAAUUUCAUAAGAAUUGGUGUCAAGCAGGAAGCAUCCACUAGAAAUAAGCUCUGGCAGUGUUUAUUUGACAUUGUAGUCAAAUAAGGAUGCAGUCCGACCCACACUUUUUGACAUUGGCAUUGUUUCAUAAUGAGAAUGGUGAAGAGGGACGCAGCACCGACUGUCAGGGCCCUGGGAGCACUAACUGGCCUUAAUGACCCAGACGGACCUCGCCUGGGGCCUCCACGCACACCCCUGUCCAUGGGCCCAGGGGUUCCAUUUAGGCUUAGCCGUGGACCAUCAGGCCCUGCCUGAGCUCCAUUAGAGAUGUGCUUGUCACUGGUUUCUGUUGCUCUGGACUGUGACCUGUGGGCUGUCAUCCUGGUUUGAGUUUGCCACGUCACCAUGGACCUGCCUGGUAACUGCUGUGUCUGGCCCCAGUUGCCAUCACGGGACCUGACCUGUGGAUUGCUUUUCUGGCUUGACCUCGGAGCUGCCUCAUCGCCAUGAAGUUUUCUGGCAGUCUGGACUCCUGCUUGGUCCUGACUGCCAUCCCCAGGCCUGCCUGCCUUGUUUGAUGUUCAUGUAAUCCUAUCACCCUGUGGGAAACUAUGGAAAAAGGUGAACCUGCCUAUGUGGGCCCGCAGAGGUGGAGGUGUAAGUGAUCAGCUUGUACCGGGAGUUGCAGAAGUGGCAGGGAAGGAUGGCUUGAGCUGGAGGGAGAACUCACAGGGGCGGCAGGGCACAUGCAGUAUGAACUAUUGCUUAUGUGACAGUAUUUUGGGUUUCAGUUUCUCUGCUCAGCUUGCUUUUGCCACUUUUUAUUUAUCUUUCCCAUGUUCCUCUCUUGUCUGCAGACCUCAGCUCCCAUUGUAAUGCCUGGAUCCGAGCUGGUUUUUGGAGAAAGCGUGUCUGUAGGCAACUCUCACAGGUUGAUGUGUUUAAUGGAUGGUGAUCAAAAAGGACAAUAAACCAGCCAUAGUUGAGCGGUAGGGCUGACCAGACCUUAAAGCUGGGCCUCAGCACUGUGCAGAUUGGACCACCUGAAGUCUGUGCUAACGAACAGGCCGUGGGGCUGCAUUCAAGUGGAUGCCAUCCGUAUUUUCCGUAUGCUGACAAUGUCUCUGUCUUUCCAAGGCACCUGGAGCUCAACGGAUGCUGAAUUGGAUACUUGGGAACAUAAAGCAAACUUGAUGUGUUUUUUCCCCUUCCUAUUACAAACUACUUGUGCCUGUCACGCUCCCCACAAAAU